Long non-coding RNA from Syngnathoides biaculeatus (alligator pipefish), 4543 nucleotides. RefSeq lists it as uncharacterized. NCBI's taxonomy places the organism in Eukaryota, Metazoa, Chordata, Actinopteri, Syngnathiformes, Syngnathidae. The transcript is spliced from 3 exons. The record is from RefSeq and is a predicted model, not a curated record.
AGGCGGGGUACACCCUGAACUGGUUGCCGGCCGAUCGCAGGGCACGUGGAGACACUCACGAUCACACUUAGGUGGCAAUUUGGAGCCCCCGACGAAUGCAUGUUUUUGGGAUGUGGCAGGAAACCGGAGCGACCGGAGAAAAGCCACACGGGCGCGGGGGAGAACAUGCAAACUCCACACGGGCGGGGUCGGGAUUUGAACACGCGAAAACGCUAACCAGCUGCUCCAGAUAAAUCAAUUUGUUGGCGCGCCGUUAGCGUUUCCUCACGUCGAAUGAACGCUUCGGCAACAAAGGCUGGGAAAUAUGAAACAAAGUCCUCGGGUUAAGACGUUUCCACUUUACAACGCCCGUAUCCCCCGUCGGCCAUUUUGUCUGGCUAACGCUUGUCCGCCGGGAGUAUUUUCGCAUUUUUCGCCCUCCUUUUUCAACAUUACCGCCCCCAAAAAAGAAAGCCGUGUCUUUUAGCAACGCUUCUGCAGCCAAAAGAAAAUCCAUUACCAUGGAAACGAAGCUCAAGAUCAUAAAAAGAUUGGAGAAAGGAGAGACGCCAACACCACCGAGGCUUCAGUCGCCCGACCGUGGUGACGAAUAUUAAAGACAAAGGCCGUUGUCAAGUCAACUAACAGGAAGAGCACCUGUCCCCCUCCAGACCUGCAGGGGGCAGAGAAACCUCAAUCACACAACUCUUCAAACUUCCUGUCAGAGGCCAGGGGCGGCCAUAUUGCUCACAGACAGCAUGCGAGCUUGUGUGGACCAAAGAAAGCCGACCAGCCAAAGGAAUAAAUCACGAACAAACAACCGAGGCAACCAAGAAGCAACUAAAAAACCCAAAAGGCACCACCCCUCGGUUUCCGGUCAGACGCAACUGGUUUUCAAGCUAAUCAACCGCGAAUCACCCUCCAAACACCUUAACCAUCAUGAAAAUUGUGAAAAGACGAAGAUUUGAGUUGUUUGAAGACCAAGGCCCUUUUCAAAGAACUGACAGACAACUUGACAGCCGUAUUUUAGCACAUGUCAAGGGUUCCGUUGUUCCUAUGUCGGACACGAUGAUCACAAAACAAGGUUCUUUGAUACUUGUGGGGAUGGGAGAGGGAUUGAGGACCAGGUUCCUUGGCAAUAGCUAAGCACCGCCUCCCCUUCUUCUUCUCCAUCCAACUCUCAGCAGUCAUGCUAAGUAUAUCAUUUUGUUUAUUUCAAUGUAUUUGUUUAUUUUUUAUACAAAGUAUUUUGAUGUAAAUUCCGACUUUAAUGGCGGAAUCCGACUUCAUUCGAAAUCCGAGUAAAGCCGCGACUGUAGCAACGGAUUUCAGUCGUAGUAGACCGAGGACUCCCUGCGGGGUCAAUGUUGCUUUUUCACUGCAGAGCAGGACCCCUGCGCAGUAAAGGAAAAAAUGAAACGCGCCCGUAGCAUCUGCCAAAAUGCGGCAGAUUUUCUGGAAAUUCCAGCCUGCACGGUGCUCCAAAUGAUGGAGACUACAAAAAACAAAAAAAAAAAAAACACAAAACAAAGAUGUGUAAUCCGGCAGCAGAUUAUUACUAAACUGUUCUCGGGCUAGCGCAGCGACGAUAUGAGCGUGUCAACUGAUCCCAAAACAGAUUUAAUCAGCCGGUGCGCAAAAUUCCGCUCACCCGCGUGCCUUGAGCGCAGAAAAUUCCAUGAAUGAAGAUUAUCUGGCAAAGAAAAAGUAGCCCAACCUCGCCCACCCACCUCCCGCGUGAUGUCAGAUCCAACACGAGGAUGUCAACAGAUGCAACGAGGCACACUUGUGACCCGUUUUUGCCCGCGGGCUGCUUGUCGUCGAGGGCGGCUGGCGCCGACAAAAGGGAACGUUCACUUUUGGAAUGCUGCGCUGACAGGCACAAAGGAUUACACGCUGCGCUUGUUGUGCGCUCGCCGCGGAUUUAAAUUCAACACGGCUAUUCCAACAAAUGUACGAAGCAGCUCAGAUGUGGGACACUUUGGAGAGCCACAAAACUGGAAAUGGACCUGAGGAAUCAUUCUGGUCCAACACAACAAAUCACAACUGGACACAAACUUUAACGAGCAGAUACAUAACAUACAUAUAACAUACACUUGUUUGUUCUUUUUUGCACUACGUGGUGUAACAGUACGCCAUAAAUGUGUGCCGUAUGUAUCUAAUUUUUUAGAUCAUGGUAAAGUUCACAUCAGGCGAGAAAAUGCAAUAACUUUUCUUGUUUUUUAUAUGAAAAUAAAAUAAAUACAGUGCAGUUUUUUUUUUUUUUGUUUGUUUUUUAUCAAUGAUGUUGAAUCUUGUGUGACAGCACAAAUCUUUUCUUUGAGGAAAGUGCAACAACAAUAAUUUGUCUUCUUUUUAGGAAACCGUAACAUCAAUAUUUGUUGGUCCAUUUAGGAAUGUGCAACAGUUUUUAAUGGGAAAAUGCAAUAUUAGUAGUGUUAUGUAUGUGUGUAUUCUUAUUUUACUUUAUUUUCCUUUCAUACGUUGCUGAGUUAUUAUGAUGCGGAUCUUUUGCGAUGCGGGAUUCUGGGAUGUUCCGAGAAGGUCUGUCGACGGGAGCUUCUUACGGCCGCCGCUGCCUUCCGUCAAGUACACAAUUCCUUCGUCUUUUGGACGUUUCUGGAACGUUCGUUCGCUCGGAAUAUUCGCUGGGAAGAACAUUUGCCUGUUUGGGAACCUUCGUUCGACUUUGAAAAUAUUGUUCCCGUGCAUGACACAAUCCAACUAUCGAGGCUCAUCGUCCCACGAAACGAGCCAAUGGAAAAACGUGGCGCAACUCCUGCAGAUAAUUCUGUGGCGACUGAGCGCAUCUCCCGACAUGUACAAUAAACGAUCCGCGCCGCCGAACGGGUGGAAAACGCACGACACGUGACAAGUAGGCGACGCCGCGGUCAUCAUUUAUAAGCUUCAGAGUGGAAAGCAACAAUAAGAAACGUGGCACAUGGAGACAAACAGCCGCACUCACAAUCGCACCUAUGGGCAAUUUAGAGUGUUCAAUCAAUGUUGCAUGUUUUGAGGAUGUGGGAGGAAACUGGAGUGCCCACCCGGAGAAAACCCACGCAGGCACGCGGAGAACAUGCAAACUCCACACAGGCGGGGCCGGGAUCGAACCCGGGACCUCAGAACUGUGAGGCCGACGCUUUCCAGCUGAUCCACCAUGCCGCCCUCUAUAAAUAUGUCAUACAUUUACAUAACACUUUAAUCAAGACUGCGUUUCUAUAUUGGUAGGUCGAAAUGAGUGUUGUAGAGUUAAAUUAGUUAGCGUAGCAGAUUAUUAAAUUUAAUCAACUAUAAAAAUCCGUCACAAUUGUGAGUAUAGGAAUUAAUAAAGAGAAAAAUGUUUUUUUUUCUCCUGUUUCUGACACAUUGGAUAACAGGUUUAAUUGACAGAUUGCAAAGCUGUUUUUUUUAGUUUUUUUUUUUUUUUACUAUUUGACAUUGUGAAUAAUGGAGUUAAUGAUGGAAAAUAUUGAUUGGGAUUUUUUUUUUCCAUUUCUGACUAAAGGUCAACCAUCCUGUUAUGUUGCAGGUGCAGUUGACCUAUUGUAAAGGCUUUUUUCAAUAAGUUCUGCGGUUAAUGAAUGGAUUCACCUCAACAAAUCCAUUGUAAUGGUGAAAAAUGGAGGGAAUAAUGAGUUUAUAUAAUAAUAGUGUGUUUUGGUAAGGCUUGGUCUUCGAUACAACUAUUAAAAAAGUGUAAUACAUAUUUGGAGCUGUACGAUCUUAAUGAUGUGCAAUAGAAAACGGAUGGAUGUGUGUUUUCAGGACUUUUAAAAAUAUAGGUUUCAUUUACCGUUAAAAUUUCAUGCUGGGUCCGCUGGAAUUCUCUUUUUUUUGGGGGGGGGGGGGGUUAUUGUAGUACAUGUCAUUGGCUCAACCCCUCCACCCCCACCCCAUUUACUAUUGUCAAGUGUGUGGUUUAAAAGUUACAGAGCAGAAACAAACAGUCGCUAGCCCUUGUCAGCAUUUGUAAGCAGUAUAAAAUUAAAAAAAAAAACGGUUGUAAACAGACGUGGUGAGGUGUGCCUUAGGUGUGACAGAGGAAUUUAAGGUGGAGGUGGGACUGCAUCAGGGAUCAGCUCUGAGCCCCUUCCUGUUUGCAGUGGUAAUGGAUAGGCUGACAGAUGAGGUUAGACUGGAAUCCCCUUGGACCAUGAUGUUCGCAGAUGAUAUUGUCAUAUGCAGUGAAAGCAGGGAGCAUGCAGAGGAACAAUUGGAAAGAUGGAGACACGCACUGGAAAGGAGAGGAAUGAAGAUUAGCCGAAGUAAAAGAGAAUAUCUGUGCGUGAAUGAGAAAAGUGGAGGGGGAAAAGUGAGGCUACAGGGAGAAGAGAUGGCGAGGGUGGACGACUUCAAAUACUUGGGGUCAACAAUACAGAGGAAUUAUGGUAAUUUUAAGAACUUUUACAUUUUUUUUUUACAAUUUUCAUUUUAAUUCAAGGGCGGCGUGGUUGGGUAGCUGGUAAAGCGUUGGCCUCACAGUUCUGUGGUCCGAGGUUCAAUCCCGGACCCGCCUGUGUGGAGUUCACAUGUUCUCCCUAUGCCUGUGUGGGUUUUCUCUAGG